GAUGAACGCUGGCGGCGUGCCUAAUACAUGCAAGUCGAGCGAACAGACGAGGAGCUUGCUCCUCUGACGUUAGCGGCGGACGGGUGAGUAACACGUGGAUAACCUACCUAUAAGACUGGGAUAACUUCGGGAAACCGGAGCUAAUACCGGAUAAUAUAUUGAACCGCAUGGUUCAAUAGUGAAAGACGGUUUUGCUGUCACUUAUAGAUGGAUCCGCGCCGCAUUAGCUAGUUGGUAAGGUAACGGCUUACCAAGGCAACGAUGCGUAGCCGACCUGAGAGGGUGAUCAGCCACACUGGAACUGAGACACGGUCCAGACUCCUACGGGAGGCAGCAGUAGGGAAUCUUCCGCAAUGGGCGAAAGCCUGACGGAGCAACGCCGCGUGAGUGAUGAAGGUCUUCGGAUCGUAAAACUCUGUUAUUAGGGAAGAACAGAUGUGUAAGUAACUAUGCACGUCUUGACGGUACCUAAUCAGAAAGCAACGGCUAACUACGUG
Molecule: ribosomal RNA, 497 nt
Filed under: uncultured bacterium
Lineage: Bacteria
Description: partial 16S ribosomal RNA
Rfam family: Bacterial small subunit ribosomal RNA
Source: RNAcentral